Molecule: ribosomal RNA, 253 nt
Filed under: uncultured bacterium
Lineage: Bacteria
Description: partial 16S ribosomal RNA
Rfam family: Archaeal small subunit ribosomal RNA
Source: RNAcentral
UACCAGCACCCCGAGUGGUCGGGACGAUUAUUGGGCCUAAGGCAUCCGUAGCCGGUUUUACAAGUCCUCCGUUAAAUCCAGCUGCUUAACAGAUGGGCUGCGGAGGAUACUAUAAGACUAGGAGGCAGGAGAGGCAAGCGGUACUCAGUGGGUAGGGGUAAAAUCCGUUGAUCCAUUGAAGACCACCAGUGGCGAAGGCGGCUUGCCAGAAUGCGCUCGACGGUGAGGGAUGAAAGCUGGGGGAGCAAACCGG